GCAUAUUCACAUAUGAAAGAACCAGCACGAAUGGGAUCCCACGACCGUAAACCCCAACCACGGUUCGCCGUCUUAAACACCUCCAUCCGGAACUUAAGUCCUGUCUGAAUCACUUUGUUUUUGCAACCGGCGUUACACGGACAGGUUGAACCACAUUCAUAUACCAUUGGCCUCCUGGAAACAAGCAUAACGCCGUUAAGGUAAGGAAGAUCGCCACCGUUCAUUCUGAUGCAAGAGCAGUUUAGAUCUCCCGGCGCACACGAGCCACGGCAGGAGCAACCAGUUGCUGUGUUCUGCUGGGUUAUUCUAAAGGCUUCAGAGUGUUUGAGAGUGGAGAUGUAAGUAAAAUAAGAAGGCCCCUUCUCAUCAUCAAAGUCAUUCACAAGGGAAACAGGUUUGCUCUCAACACCUGAAGUGAUAUCCGGAAGUAUAAGUCCUCUUCUUGGAGUCAUCAAACCUUCUUUCCACUUAUGAACAGCUUUCCAGAACCCAAAAGCAGGUGGCUGACCUGGCACUCUCACCAAUCUAUACUUAAACGUGUUGCAGCCAGACUUGCCUUUCUCCACCCAUGACUCCGAGAUUGUAUAAAGCCCAUCGUAAAUAUAGAUCUUCCCCGUUUUACUAGCUGGAUCCUCUUCUCCUCUGAUAACUCUAACUCCAUUCCCUUUCCUCAAGCUUCUCUCUAACGCAAGAUUCCCUCUCUCAAGCUUCUGAUCAGACGCUUGUUUGUUCUUGUCUGCAUUCCCUCCUUGUCCGCUGUAGAUUAAAGACUCAGGAUCCUGGGCCUCGCCGUCAUAGCGUCCGGCUGAAACAAUGCUGGUAGCUAGAGGCUCCUCAUCUGCACCUGCUGCUUUGCUCGUUAUGUAGUCAAUGCCGGCCAUUGUCUGCAUGUGGAGACCCACUAAGCACAUCUCUAUCCGUGAAAAGAAGAUAUCUCCAACUUCGAUUCCUGGAACCGUUCCAACUCUCUUUUUCAUGUUUGUCCUCACCCCGUUGCUCAUCAAAGAGCCUGCUGCUUUAGCGGUCGCGGCCUUUGCGUACUCCACUUGACUGAGACGCCUCCUAACAGCAUCAAAACGCAUCAGCACGGUGCUUACUAAGUCCACAUUGCCGUCUUCUCGCUCUGCUGCACUGAUCCCGCUGUCGAAAACUCCACUGAAACGCUUCACAACCUGAACAUCCAAAGUAGGCUCUUGGGGGACUGUCUUGUCUUUUUUCUUGGCGUUGCCGCUUCCCUUAGGACGACCUCUUUUAGCUCCGGUUGAGCUGCUAGGGCCGUUUGAUGCAGUGGUAGUGGGAGAUCUGUAUGAUUGAAGAGGUGGAACAAACGAUGGAGGAGGUGUGUACUGAGUCUGGUUGAGAUCUGGAGUGUCUUGUGUAGGUGGUUGUGAUCCAAAUGGGAAGAAAGGUGAGUAGCCUGUAGAAGAAGGGCCAAAAGGUGGAACUCCAACAAAGGGUGGACCUUGAUUGCCAUUUGGAAAAACAGGUUUUAGACUUCUCAGUGGUUUAACAUCUAGCACUAUAGACUUGUCAUAAUGGUUAGGAUUUGGAACUCCUUCCAUUGCUAAAACUCCUGUCAAAAAUGAGACCAACAUUUGGGUUAAAGAGCAUUGACAAAGCUUAGAUUAUUAUUAGCAUAUGAAUAAAGUAUGAUGAAAUAAAUAUCACAGCAUUUUACUGCAUAGCCCCUCUAGAACAACACCUUGCAGUGACCUUGUGGGUUAUAUAUACUCUUUGCAGUACUAAAAGCAGAAAAAAAAAAGUUAUAAGGAAAUGCAAAAGAAUCCAUUUAAGAGCAACCUUAGGUUCAAUAAAAGUCCCUAGAAGAAUCGAAAACCCAAAAAAAUGCAAACUUUGCUAUAUUUUGUAGACCGAGCAGCUAUGGUUCAUGAACCGAGCUACAUUUCCAAAACUCUUAGCACUGAUCAGGAGCGGUGCUGGGAGAUUAAACUCCUCAGAGAGUUCAUCUGAAGGAUCCUCAUCUACUAACGCAGGCUCAUAGUUCCAUUUAAACGAGUUAUAAACACGCGAUGUGUCAAAGACAUACUCAUCCUCUUCUUGGUCCAUUCUAAGUGUUUCUUGGUCUUUGACCUCACCAGCAUAUUCACAUAUGAAAGAACCAGCACGAAUGGGAUCCCACGACCGUAAACCCCAACCACGGUUCGCCGUCUUAAACACCUCCAUCCGGAACUUAAGUCCUGUCUGAAUCACUUUGUUUUUGCAACCGGCGUUACACGGACAGGUUGAACCACAUUCAUAUACCAUUGGCCUCCUGGAAACAAGCAUAACGCCGUUAAGGUAAGGAAGAUCGCCACCGUUCAUUCUGAUGCAAGAGCAGUUUAGAUCUCCCGGCGCACACGAGCCACGGCAGGAGCAACCAGUUGCUGUGUUCUGCUGGGUUAUUCUAAAGGCUUCAGAGUGUUUGAGAGUGGAGAUGUAAGUAAAAU
Molecule: long non-coding RNA, 2447 nt
Filed under: Brassica rapa (field mustard)
Lineage: Eukaryota; Viridiplantae; Streptophyta; Magnoliopsida; Brassicales; Brassicaceae
Description: long non-coding RNA (BRAP_LNC005418)
Source: RNAcentral